UUCCAUUUAAAAAAUAAAAGAUAACCUUGAUGACGCUAUUCAAGGUCAUACUAGUAUUGCUAUGUGACGCGAACUUUUUUAUUUAAUAUUUUUUUUAUAUCUUGCAUAUUUUCAGAAUUAUUCAGGUGGUCUGUUUUAGAUGCCUUAAUAUAUAUUAAUGUAUUAAUUGUAUAUAUAGAAAGGAACACGAGGAAGCAGAGAGAGAGAGAGAGAGAAAGAGAUAGAAUUAUACAUGUUACCGCCAAUGUGCGAAAUUGAAGGCAUUUUAUAAAAUGACUAAGAAAUCUAUAGAAUGCCGGAAAUGGGACGUCAAAGUAUGAAACGUUUAUUAUUUCACAUAUUUCCUAAGCACUCUAUGCAAUGCUGAAAGGCAAACCGGCAAAGUAUAGUAUACACUUGCUAGUGACGUUCUUAUUAUCUGGCGAGACACGUGACUUUCGAUCUUCAAUCAGCUGUUAUCAAUCCACAGGAAGCGGCCAAGAUUUCGUCUAUGUACAAGGACAAGUGUCAAAUACAAAGUGCUUUUGUAUGAAAAAACAAUGAAAUGCAAUUUAAAGUGCAAUUCUAGUCUUUCUCGUUACAAUGAGGAGGUCUCAAUACUGGUUUCUUUCUCUUGUUUCUUUUUUUUUCUUUUGCAGGUUUCAAAAAGAUUUGUAGAUCAGCUUAACCCCUUUUUCUACAAUAUCGUGUAAGACACAUGAUAUACCUUGCGGGCCAAACAUAAGAAACACGAGUCAGCCUCGUAGUACGUAUAUCGGAUCAAAUAUAAGAAGCACGAGUAAGACCCAUCGUAUAUUUUACGGACCAAGAAACACAAUAAAGACUUGUGGAAACACAUAAGACAUAGGAAACACAAAUACAACUUUAUCACCGACUUUGGCACGUGCUGUUGCGACUUAAAUCAUAGGGAUUAAUUCUCGAAGACCUUUAUCGACAAUCUCAAAUUCUCUGACCGUAACGAUCCACCGGAUCUCCGCGCGUGCCUUUGUAAAAUGAAAUCAGAGCGCACUCAACUUACUGGAACAUUUGCGAAAAUUAAUCCUAUCCUCUUCUAAUUUCUUUUUUUUGCGGUUUACGUUGUAUAACGCAAUAAAUUGAUUUGACAUGAAGAUUAUCACCUUAAAUUCUAUAUCGUGUAUAAAAGCCUUCUGUUUCGCCGAGAUAUCGACAGUUAAGGGCAGUUAAGGGUCUGCAGGAGCCAGAGACAAAUCCAGCGUUGACUUUGGAGGCUUCGUACGGCGAGAUCCAAGAUAUACGGCAAGAAAAUGCUUUCCAGGCUUUUGGGCAAGUGAGCAAAUGUCGCAGCGACUUAUGUGCAAUACCAUUUUACAAAUUGACCUAUUUUGUCUAGCUGACAUUGUAAAUCACCGCCAAAUUAUUAUAGCAUGUUCCUUAUAUUAUUCUCCAGAUCCCCACAAAGCCAGAUAUUGCAAUCCGGCCGUCCAAAAUUUAUGAAAAAUAAAUGAAGCGUCCGCCGUACCAAGCAUUGCAGCGAAUCACUCGAAAAAUUAUUUUACGAGAUGCAAAAUUUCGCCUCGUUGACGAAAGGUAUAAUUACUAAACUAUUACAGCAUUUAUAAUAUAUAAAUAAAGCAUCAGCCGUAUCAGGAGUUGCAGCGAGUCAGGUGGAAUACCAUUUUAUAAGAAGCAAUAUUUUGCCUUGUUGACGUAAUAUAUGACUAUGAACUUAUUAUAGCAUUUUCCUACAACUAUUCCUGAGAUCUCUACAGAGUUAGAUUUUACAAACAGGCCGUCAACAAUUUAUUAUACACAAAUAAAGCGUCAGCUGUACCAAAUAUCGUAGCGAGUCAGGCGG
Long non-coding RNA from Harpegnathos saltator (Jerdon's jumping ant), 1816 nucleotides. RefSeq lists it as uncharacterized. NCBI's taxonomy places the organism in Eukaryota, Metazoa, Arthropoda, Insecta, Hymenoptera, Formicidae. The record is from RefSeq and is a predicted model, not a curated record. The transcript is spliced from 2 exons.